This 512-nucleotide long non-coding RNA is filed under the name Ananas comosus (pineapple). RNAcentral describes it as "long non-coding RNA (ACOM_LNC040861)". The record is from RNAcentral. Lineage: Eukaryota; Viridiplantae; Streptophyta; Magnoliopsida; Poales; Bromeliaceae.
UGUUUCUAACAUGGUAAUAGUCACUAGCAACCCAACGGUCUAAUUCUAUGUCUCAAAGUGAAUGUUUAACCGUUCAUUAUAUUCGCUGCCCCUUUAUGGCAAUAUAUCUCAUUAUGUCCAAACCUUGUUCCAACACUAGUGCCUCUUUGUGACACUAGGUUUUACUAUGUCCCGAGCACAUUCCAAGCUUAAUGCCCCUUUAUGACAUUAACUUACUAAGUUCAUACAUAUGCCAAGCCCAAUGCCACUUUAUGACAUUAGCUCACUCCUAUGCCAAGCAUGAGCUCUAAGUCCAAGAGUACAAUGUACUUAUCAUUUUCACUAAAUGAAACAUGAUCUCAAUCCAAGUAUAAGAAUGCUAAUCAUAUGCAUGAUCCGAACAUGAAUAGCUCUCUACUACAUAGAGGUCCAAAUGUGCAUUAUACAUAACAUGUGCAUAUUAAACAUUCUAAAAUUCACAAAUAUUCCAUCUAGCAUGAAUAUGCAUGAAAUUCCAUUUUACGACAAAUAUG